CGGAGAGGGAGCAUGAGAAACGGCUACCACAACUAAGGUUGGCAGCAGGCGCGCAAAUUGCCCAAUAGCAACACAUCGCUGAGGCAGCGAAGAGAAAUAGCAACUUCAUGCGGCCCUGCCGUGUGAAGAUUGCCAUGGACGAUAUCUAAACCUGUCGAUGAGUAUCAAUUGGUGGACAAGUCUGGUGCCAGCACCCGCGGUAAUUCCAGCACCAAUAGCGUAUAUUAAUGCUGCUGCUGUUAAAAAGCUCGUAGUUGGAUCAAGAGUUGGACAGUGCACGGUGGCCCUGUUUGUGUGGUUGGCUCCGGUCAGCCAUACGGCAGCGGAACAACCCCGUGCGCCAAACUGUCCACUCUAACAGACCGAAAUGGUUCCCUGUGAGUAGGCUCCUUAAUUGGGGCUGAAAGCGCCUACGCAUCAACCAUAUAUAUGCAUACGGGACGUCGGUCAACGUUACUGUGAACAAACCAGCGUGUCCAAAGCAGGCUUUCGCCUGAAUGUUCGAGCAUGGAAUAACAAGGGAUCGAUUCUCUCGGUUCUUUUUUGUUGGUUUUUAACCCGAGAAGGAGUAAUUCAGGCCACGGUGUCUGAGUUGGGUUUCCCUGGGCUUCGGCUCAGGCCCCAAUUAGGCCGUGUCCUUACGGGAUCAAUAGGGACUGACGGGGUCGUACCUACUUCCGCGUCAGAGGUGAAAUUCUUAGAUCGCGGGAAGAGGAACUUCUGCGAAAGCAUUCGACAAGAAUGUCUUCAUUAAUCAAGAACGAGAGUGUGGGGAUCGAAGAUGAUCAGAUACCGUCGUAGUCCACUACUGUAAACAAUGCCGUCUCAGGAUUGAGAAGUGAACAGAAUGACUUUCACAGCACUAACCCCUGAAACGAGAAAUCAAAGAUUAUGGGAUCAGGGGGGAGUACAUUCGCAAGGCUGAAACUUAAAGGAAUUGACGGAAUGACACCACAAGGCGUGGAGUAUGCGGCUUAAUUUGACUCAACACGGGGAAUUUUACUAGGUCAGGACAAUGUAAGGAUUGACAGAUUGAGAGCUCUUUCUCGAUCCAUUGUGUGGUGGUGCAUGGCCGCUCCUGGUUGAUGGAGUGAUUUGUCUGGUUGAUUCCGUUAACGAACGAGAUCUCGACCCUUAAAUAGGUGCGCAUGUCGAUUGUAGCCUCAUCUCCGCCAGCUUGCUGGAUUGGAUUGGGGCGAGACUGUGCGAAUACUUCUUAAGGGGACUGUGUGCGUCUCUAGCACGCGGAAGAGCGAGCCAAUAGCAGGUCUGUGAUGCUCCUAAAUGUCCUAGGCUGCACGCGCACUACACUGAUGCAAUAAACGAGUCUGAGUGCCUUCUGGCAGCCUACCUGGAAGCGGGUGGGAAAUCUUUUGAACUUGCAUCGUGAUGAGGAUCGACGAUUGCAAUUAUUCUCCUUGAAUGAGGAAUGCCUAGUAGGCACAAGUCAUCAGCUUGUACUGAUUACGUCCCUGCCAUUUGUACACACCGCCCGUCGUUGCUACUGAUUGGCUGUAGGGUAGAGAUCGGCGGGUUCUGAACUCUUGGGGCAACUCAUUUGUUCGGGAGAAACCUAUCAAUAUUCUUCAGCUAGAAGAAGCAAAAGUCGUAACAAGG
This 1617-nucleotide ribosomal RNA is filed under the name uncultured eukaryote. Its description in RNAcentral is "SSU rRNA". It matches the Rfam family "Eukaryotic small subunit ribosomal RNA", at positions 384 to 1799 of the family's 1831-position model. The record is from RNAcentral.